Molecule: ribosomal RNA, 1043 nt
Filed under: Lacticaseibacillus rhamnosus
Lineage: Bacteria; Bacillati; Bacillota; Bacilli; Lactobacillales; Lactobacillaceae
Description: bacterial SSU rRNA
Rfam family: Bacterial small subunit ribosomal RNA
Source: RNAcentral
AAGAAUGGUCGGCAGAGCAACUGUUGUCGGCGUGACGGUAUCCAACCAGAAAGCCACGGCUAACUACGUGCCAGCAGCCGCGGUAAUACGUAGGUGGCAAGCGUUAUCCGGAUUUAUUGGGCGUAAAGCGAGCGCAGGCGGUUUUUUAAGUCUGAUGUGAAAGCCCUCGGCUUAACCGAGGAAGUGCAUCGGAAACUGGGAAACUUGAGUGCAGAAGAGGACAGUGGAACUCCAUGUGUAGCGGUGAAAUGCGUAGAUAUAUGGAAGAACACCAGUGGCGAAGGCGGCUGUCUGGUCUGUAACUGACGCUGAGGCUCGAAAGCAUGGGUAGCGAACAGGAUUAGAUACCCUGGUAGUCCAUGCCGUAAACGAUGAAUGCUAGGUGUUGGAGGGUUUCCGCCCUUCAGUGCCGCAGCUAACGCAUUAAGCAUUCCGCCUGGGGAGUACGACCGCAAGGUUGAAACUCAAAGGAAUUGACGGGGGCCCGCACAAGCGGUGGAGCAUGUGGUUUAAUUCGAAGCAACGCGAAGAACCUUACCAGGUCUUGACAUCUUUUGAUCACCUGAGAGAUCAGGUUUCCCCUUCGGGGGCAAAAUGACAGGUGGUGCAUGGUUGUCGUCAGCUCGUGUCGUGAGAUGUUGGGUUAAGUCCCGCAACGAGCGCAACCCUUAUGACUAGUUGCCAGCAUUUAGUUGGGCACUCUAGUAAGACUGCCGGUGACAAACCGGAGGAAGGUGGGGAUGACGUCAAAUCAUCAUGCCCCUUAUGACCUGGGCUACACACGUGCUACAAUGGAUGGUACAACGAGUUGCGAGACCGCGAGGUCAAGCUAAUCUCUUAAAGCCAUUCUCAGUUCGGACUGUAGGCUGCAACUCGCCUACACGAAGUCGGAAUCGCUAGUAAUCGCGGAUCAGCACGCCGCGGUGAAUACGUUCCCGGGCCUUGUACACACCGCCCGUCACACCAUGAGAGUUUGUAACACCCGAAGCCGGUGGCGUAACCCUUUUAGGGAGCGAGCCGUCUAAGGUGACCAAAAAAUCGUA